This 74-nucleotide transfer RNA is filed under the name Pimelobacter simplex. RNAcentral's name for it is "tRNA-Glu". It matches the Rfam family "tRNA". Rfam says of the family: Transfer RNA (tRNA) molecules are approximately 80 nucleotides in length. Their secondary structure includes four short double-helical elements and three loops (D, anti-codon, and T loops). The record is from RNAcentral. RNAcentral also lists the same sequence under 5 other names. Lineage: Bacteria; Bacillati; Actinomycetota; Actinomycetes; Propionibacteriales; Nocardioidaceae.
GCCCCCGUUGUGUAGCGGCCUAGCACGCCUGCCUCUCACGUAGGUAGCGCCGGUUCGAAUCCGGUCGGGGGUAC